This 346-nucleotide ribosomal RNA is filed under the name uncultured bacterium. RNAcentral's name for it is "partial 16S ribosomal RNA". It matches the Rfam family "Bacterial small subunit ribosomal RNA", at positions 338 to 697 of the family's 1533-position model. The record is from RNAcentral.
CCUACGGGGGGCAGCAGUGGGGAAUAUUGCGCAAUGGGGGAAACCCUGACGCAGCAACGCCGCGUGCAGGAAGAAGGUCUUCGGAUUGUAAACUGUUGUCGCAGGGGAAGAAGACAGUGACGGUACCCUGUGAGAAAGUCACGGCUAACUACGUGCCAGCAGCCGCGGUAAUACGUAGGUGACAAGCGUUGUCCGGAUUUACUGGGUGUAAAGGGCGCGUAGGCGGGAUAGCAAGUCAGUCGUGAAAUGCCGAGGCUUAACCGUGGAGCUGCGGUUGAAACUGUUAUUUUUGGGUAUCGGGGGAGAAAGGGGGAUUCCCUGGGUGAGCGGGGAAAGGGGAAGAUAU